RNAcentral lists this long non-coding RNA (2994 nucleotides) under Homo sapiens (human). Its description in RNAcentral is "HSALNT0358778". The record is from RNAcentral. Lineage: Eukaryota; Metazoa; Chordata; Mammalia; Primates; Hominidae.
UUUUUUUUCUGUAGCAAACAUCUUUCCUGUGAAAAAUUCCCUCUCCUAGUACUUUAGUUCUGUGGAUCCAAAAUUUAUAGCAUUCUUCUACCACCACAGGGGCUCAUAUGACAUUAACAGACAAGACACUUUUCAGAAAGACAGGGAACUGUGGAAGUAAACCAGGGGUGACAUGGAUUAUCAAAUAUUGUGGAUCAGGUGAGCUCUAGGCUUCUCAAUGCAAGGUUGUUCUUUUGGGCCACAUCUAAGAAAUCUUUGUCUAGCCAAAAGCCACAAAUAAUUUCUCAUUUUUUGGCUUCUGGAAGAUGUACAGUUAAAUGUUAUAUUUGGGACUGUUAUCUAAUUUGGUUAAAUUGCACUCUACAAUAUGGUAUUUGAAUUGAUGAAAAAUUAGUAAAUGUUAAUAUUUUUUAAAGUAGCCAAAUCUUGCAAUUUAUAUAUAAUAGAGAAGACUAGAAAAUCCCCCAUAUUUAUUUCCUCUUACUUCGUACUACUAAAAUUUGUAUUUAGGCAUUUGGUUUCUCAGAUAAACAUUACAUUCCCCAGUAUAUGGUUCUAUCUGGCUUGGUGACGACAUGUUGAACAUUAAGAUGUGAGCAGAAGUAAUACAUACACACUCUUUUUCAUGUCUUUAAUUGAAUGGGAUAUUGGCCCAUUUUUUCUUCCAGUUUAUUACACUGAAUAUUGACAUGUUAUUUUCCAAUAUUGAGACAAUCAAUGACAAGACUUUAAGAGUAACAAUGUAAAAAUACAGAAGUUGUCUGAGUUUAUCAACAAUCCCCUGGAUUAGAACCCCCUACCAGUUCUAGGUCAUCUAAUAUAUAGACAUUGUGUUCAGUAGAAAUAAAUAUAUAUAUUUUUUAUUAUGCUUUAAGUUCUAGGAUACAUGUGCACAACAUGCAGUUUUGUUACAUUGGUAUACACGUGCCAUGUUGGUUUGCUGCACCCAUUAACUCAUCAUUUACAUUAGGUAUUUCUCCUAAUGCUAUCCCUCCCCCUGCCCCCACCCCCGACAGGCCCUGGGGUGUGAUUUUCCCCACCCUGUGUCCAAGUGUUCUCAUUGCUCAAUUCCCACCUAUGGGAAUACAUUUUUAAAUCAUUUUUAAAGGUGUUAUUACAUUCUGAUUGAACAUUUUCAGAAAGAAUAAAUAAUUUAAUACAAGAAGUGGGCCACUUCAUGUAACAAAACAAACCACCACUACAGCAACAACAACAAAAAACACUAAUGAAUGUGACUUUAGCUUUGCAACAUCGUGACAGACUAGCAAGUUAAUGACAUUUGUUAUGCCAUAGAAAAUAUUUGUUGAAUUGCCACUCUAAUGACUUUAUAUCAGCCAACUCAUUAUCAACACUAGAAAAGAUGAUUAAAAAAUACUUCAGUACGUUCACGUGUUGGCUUGUUAACAUUUUUAAGAGUCUAUAAGAGAAAAAUGCAUCCAAUCUUGACAAAAAUAUUUUUCAAGUAUCUUGUAGGUACGUACAACUAACUACCUUGUGAACAAAAGUCACUAUAUAAUUAUAUAAUUUCUGACACUUAAAAAAGUUUAUUGUGCUAAAGAAGAUAUAUGUUCUAAUACCAAAUCCACAUAUAAAAUAAUUGACUUAAAUAAUUUAAGAUGCUCUUUUAUAUAUUUAUAUUAAAAACUUUACAGAGAAUAAAAAAAGCAUUAUACAGGCUACUUAUGGUUUUUGAUGUUUGGAUCUACAAUACAUGUAUCAAAGAUUGUGGAAAUAAAUCAAACAAUAUAUUCAAUUGGACUUAAUUGCAUUAUUACAUGCCAAGUGUCGUAUACCAUCUAUUUGCACAUAACACUUUUUAAUUUAGGUAAAAUUAUUAUCAUAAAGCUACAUGAAUUUAUUUUAUUCCAUGUUAUUAUUUAUGUAUUGUUAGGAACAUUUGCUUAAAAAUCAUAUUUGGACAUAGUUAGUAUCAGAUACUUUACAUCCUUUGAAUCAGUUAUUUUAUAACAGUAUAUACUAAACAUCAUUACUCCUUUUCAAACAUAAAUAACGCAAUACAAAUUGGACAAAAAAUUCAGGAAAGAUCUGGGAUCAAAAAGGAGGUAUUGAAACAUCACAUGUACUCCAUAAUUAUAUACAAAUAUUUUGUACCCAUAAUAUUUAAAAUACAGAAAAUUAAAAGGUGCAUUUUCCUCAAAGUGCAUGCUUCUUUUGCUAUGCAAAACUGCAAGAUAUGGAAAGAAGUGUAUUAAAACACUAAAUCACUUUAUGUGGAAGAUAAAAGGGAUGGUACCCAAUGUAAGACUUCAUGUAGUGCACUGAUACAUUCAAUACAAAUGAUGUAUUAACUUCAAGAUAACAUGAGAAAGUUAAAUUAUCUAACUUAUUUCAAACUAGGGGAUAGUAUGUUCUCAUUAUUAGAAGCCAGAAUUCUGCUUAUCCAUUUCUAUUAUUAGAAAAAAACAUAAUUUUUAUUCUUGUCUUAAAAAUAGACACCAUGAUAUCAUUCUCUGUAAAUGCAGCAUGAUAGUCUGUUUACAGAGUUUAUAUCAUUCCAAGACUGCACUUCUAAAGUGAGAAAAUAUUAAAGGAUAUAAACUCACUCCUCUCUACAAAAUUCCUUAUUUUUUAUGCAAUGGCUUUAAAAUGUAUGGAAGGGGAGUUAUGGAAACAAUCCAUACCUGGAAAGCAUUCUAUCCAUGCCUUUGAAAUGGUUAUCUAGUACUAGAUUCUUAUCAGUGCCUAGCUAUGUAAUGUGUGUAGCUUAAGAUUUUUAAGAAAGAAGGAUAAAAUGCUCAAUAUAAAUUUAAAAAGCACUUUUAUUGGAAUAUUGAAUCAUAUAUUUGCUUUCUGUAAGUCCUUUUAUCUAUAAAAUAAUAGUUGAGAAAGGCAAAUAGAAUAUGUGGAGGAAUUAAAAAUUCAGUUGUAGGGUGGUAAAUGAAAACCAAAUUUUUCAUUCACCACAUUAAAUGUAAAUGGGUAUUAUACUCAAUUUAAGCAGCAAAGUUGCUUUUUUUUUUUUUUUUUUUUUUG